GACGAACGCUGGCGGCGCGCUUAACACAUGCAAGUCGAACGGAAAGGCCUGCUUUCCCUUGUGGAUUGCGGGUACUCGAGUGGCGAACGGGUGAGUAACACGUGAGUGAUCUGCCCCCAACUUGGGUAUAAGCCUGGGAAACUGGGUCUAAUUCCCGAUAGGACUGCAGGGUGGUGCCUGUGGUGGAAAACGAUUUUCUAGUGGUUGGGGAUGAGCUCGCGGCCUAUCAGCUUGUUGGUGGGGUAAUGGCCUACCAAGGCGGCGACGGGUAGCCGGCCUGAGAGGGUGGACGGCCACAUUGGGACUGAGAUACGGCCCAGACUCCUACGGGAGGCAGCAGUGGGGAAUAGUGCACAAUGGGCGGAAGCCUGAUGCAGCGACGCCGCGUGGGGAUGACGGCCUUCGGGUUGUAAACUCCUUUCGACCGCGAGGAAGCCACCUGGUUGGAAGGGUGGUGACGGUAGUGGUAGAAGAAGCACCGGCUAACUACGUG
This 493-nucleotide ribosomal RNA is filed under the name uncultured bacterium. Its description in RNAcentral is "partial 16S ribosomal RNA". It matches the Rfam family "Bacterial small subunit ribosomal RNA", at positions 28 to 507 of the family's 1533-position model. The record is from RNAcentral.